GGACGAACGCUGGCGGCGUGCUUAACCCAUGCAAGUCGAACGGUAAGGCCUUUCGGGGUACACGAGUGGCGAACGGGUGAGUAACACGUGGGUGAUCUGCCCUGCACUUCGGGAUAAGCCCGGGAAACUGGGUCUAAUACCGGAUAGGACUGCGCGGUGCAUGCCGUGUGGUGGAAAGAUUUAUCGGUGCAGGAUGGGCCCGCGGCCUAUCAGCUUGUUGGUGGGGUAAUGGCCUACCAAGGCGACGACGGGUAGCCGGCCUGAGAGGGCGACCGGCCACACUGGGACUGAGACACGGCCCAGACUCCUACGGGAGGCAGCAGUGGGGAAUAUUGCACAAUGGGCGCAAGCCUGAUGCAGCGACGCCGCGUGAGGGAUGACGGCCUUCGGGUUGUAAACCUCUUUCAGCAGGGACGAAGCGUGAGUGACGGUACCUGCAGAAGAAGCACCGGCCAACUACGUG
This 463-nucleotide ribosomal RNA is filed under the name uncultured bacterium. RNAcentral's name for it is "partial 16S ribosomal RNA". It matches the Rfam family "Bacterial small subunit ribosomal RNA", at positions 27 to 507 of the family's 1533-position model. The record is from RNAcentral.